This 464-nucleotide ribosomal RNA is filed under the name uncultured bacterium. RNAcentral describes it as "bacterial SSU rRNA". It matches the Rfam family "Bacterial small subunit ribosomal RNA", at positions 331 to 792 of the family's 1533-position model. The record is from RNAcentral.
CCAGACUCCUACGGGAGGCAGCAGUGAGGACUCUUGGUCAAUGGGCGGGCGCCUGAACCCGCCCCGCCGCGUGCCGGCCGAAGGCGCCAAGCGUCGUAAACUUCUUUUGUCGGGGAACCACGGGCGCCCCGUGUGGCGUUGUGAGUGUACCCGAAGAAAAAGCAUCGGCUAACUCCGUGCCAGCAGCCGCGGUAAUACGGCAGGUCCGGGCGUUAUCCGGAUUUAUUGGGUUUAAAGGGAGCGUAGGCCGCAUGUGAAGCGUGCCGUGAAAUGCCGUGGCUCAACCAUGGCACUGCGGCGCGAACUGGCUUGCUUGAGUGCGCGGAACGUAUGCGGAAUUCGUGGUGUAGCGGUGAAAUGCUUAGAUAUCACGAAGAACUCCGAUUGCGAAGGCAGCAUACGGCAGCGCUACUGACGCUGAAGCUCGAAGGCGCGGGUAUCGAACAGGAUUAGAUACCCGAGUA